Gossypium raimondii (Peruvian cotton) is the source of this 133-nucleotide non-coding RNA. NCBI's taxonomy places the organism in Eukaryota, Viridiplantae, Streptophyta, Magnoliopsida, Malvales, Malvaceae. The record is from Rfam.
UGUUAAAAAUUUCAUCCAUUUCUACUGUUAAAAACUGGUAUGGCUAACAAAAUAACCAAAUGGUGCCACGUGUACCUCAUGCUAACGUUCAUGGACCAGUUUUCAACAAUAGCAAUCGAUGAAAUUUUUAAUA